Long non-coding RNA from Triticum aestivum (bread wheat), 3121 nucleotides. RefSeq lists it as uncharacterized. The transcript is spliced from 4 exons. The record is from RefSeq and is a predicted model, not a curated record. NCBI's taxonomy places the organism in Eukaryota, Viridiplantae, Streptophyta, Magnoliopsida, Poales, Poaceae.
AGGAGAUAGAAGAAAGGGGGGAACGGGGAGGUGCUCGCCAUCAGCCUUCACCCGUUGGGCCCGUCCCCGACGGCGACCUGAGCUUCUUCUUUUCUUUUCCCUCUGCCAAAUUGAUGUGAGCUCGUGUCCUCAAUUCAUCUCCGCCUGAGUCCAGGAUGGUGGCCACUGCAGCGUACGGCCGGAGGCGCCAGCGACCUCAGGCACCCAUCACUGGGCGGUGACCGACGCUUAUUCUUCCUCUCCCUCCGUCAACAUUAUGUGUGCUCAUGUCCUUCAUGUUUUCUCCCAAUCCGUCUGUCUUUAUUUUUCUGCCUAAAUGCUAUCUACACAUUUACGUGUUGUGGCAGUGGGGAGAUGGAGCCUGGCCGAGGGGGAGAUAGAUGAAGGAUGCUGCUAAAGUGGUUUCCCAACUGUAAGAUCCGUUAUCCCUCUUUUGAUUCUCAUCCCCAAUUUCAUUUUGCGCAGUUUGUGUUUGUCAUACUGGGUUUUAUUUUGUAAAGGAGUGUGUCAUACUGGAUAAUGCUCCAAGACUAAUUAAUUAUUUUCGUAACCACAUUGAAGAAAUUAGUUUGUUGCUUUGAUGUCGUGUUUGUUCGCCAAUGCUGAUUUUUCAGGCUGGAUCAUCAUUUGUGAGUGCCAUUCUUAGCAGUUUAGUAUUUGGCGGUUCAGUCUAUUUACCCUUCAUUUGUUUGGUAGUUUGGAAGAAGGAAGAUUUGAUGAGGGAUAUCUACACUUCUGCCAUAGAUCGGAGGGGAGAUUAGAGGGAAUUUGCUCAUUCAGUUCUGAAGAAUUUGUGGUGGAUUGCGUUUCGUAGUGUAUGUUGGGGUUCUGCCAACAAUCGAGCACGCAACCAUAUGUAGUUUCCCUGCAACUUUGUUUAUCAACUUAAUUUAUUUAUUUCCUGUCAUAUAGUUCUUCAUUAUCAUUUAUCCACAUAUGAAACUAGCCUUUAGUAUUUAGAUUCAGAAGCACACUUAGCAUUGAAACUGCAUGUCCAUUUGUUUCUUCAGUUUUCUGUCCAUUAUAUGCCAACCUUCCUUGCCCUUCCUACUACCCAAUUUCACACUAAGAAUCUCUUGAGUCAUGUUUAUAUACACUUGCUCAUUUGCUUGUGUGUUAAUUCAUUCUUCAAUCAGUCUUCAUAUUCAUUGAUGAAAAUUACGUUGUUAGUAUUCAUUUACCUUUCUUUCUUCUUUGGUGUUAUUCUGAAUAAUCAAUGUCUCUCUUCUCAGUUUUUUCAGUGUUUCUUUUUACCAUGUUAGUCACCGAAGAAAAGUAUAUUCUUAGUCCCCAGUCGCUGUUUCAUCAGAGUCCUUUUGAGCAAUCAUUCCCUCUUUUUUAUUUCAUUCACUUUCGUUAGUCUUGGGGCUGUUCUCCCUUUCUUUGUUUAGUCCUCCAUUUUCUCAUGAGAACGGACUUUUAGAUCCCGGGUGCCUAGACACCCGGUUAUCUGGACCGUUCGUCCAUCUCUGGUGCGUUGAGAUGUGUGCCAAGCUGAGAAACGAAUCAAUAUAAUACCAGGUCUGCUUCUUGAUUAGGCGCGGGAUGUUCGACAGCACCGAAAUAAACUAUGCCUAGUACAGCCGUGCUGCUACACACCUGACACCUGCACCCACCUACUAGUAAAGAAAAAUCGCAGUUGAUACGACAUGUCUGCCUGGCAGAGUAUUCGGAGGGAGAUAUAUGUGUCGGCCAUUCUUUCAAACGAGCGACUAGACGUGUCGUCUUGAAUCCACUCAACUCCGUCUUCCCCAUCCUGCGCCGUACAGUAGUGAUCCCCAUUCUCAACUCCCCGUGCCCUUCUGGUUCACCUUCCAUCUUCCCCGGCGGAUUGCAUUUCAAUCUAUGGACUCCCACGUCGAGGAUGCGGAACGGUAUGUCCGCGAGGCAGGCGACGGGCCCGGCACUGCAAUUGAAGCGGAAGGAUAUCAAUUCGCGGCUCAUGGGAUUGAUUUUUUCGCAUCUAUAGCCGCCGGCCUGGAUCUGCAAUCAACACCCAGAUCGGAAGUGGUGGAUGGUGGUUCUUUUGUUACGAUUUCGGGCGAUGUUCAUACAUCCGAUGCAGCGGCGACCCGGCAGGACAGGACGAACUCUUGUCAAUACCCACCAGCUUGUGGAUGGAAACGUAGGAAUCAAACGGGUGACAGGCUCACAGCAAGGGCAAUGCCAAGCAAGUUCACAUCUAUUGAAAGAUGUCUGCUAAACUCUGAAGGUAAACAUGCUCCUGAUACAUUUGCCCCUAUUGUGGGGUCAUCAUUCGACUCCUGUCAGUAAGCGUAUGAGCAGUACAAUUUGUUUGCUUGGGAGAAUGGUUUUGGUAUUCGACACGGCAAGUCUAGAUGGGGAGAUGGACGAUACCAGCUAAUGCAUGAAAUUGUGUGUCAAUGCCAGGGCAAACCAUAGAAGGAGAAUUCUGUAUCAUGUAAAACUCAAUGCAAGGCAAGGAUGAGGCUUCUUCGUACAGAAGACCAUGGUUGGUGCGUUAGCAUCUUCAGUAAUGAGCAUAACCAUCAUCUGUCUGGAAAUCGAGAGGAGACAAGGGAAUGGCAUUCACACAGUGAGAUCAACCCUGUACUUAUGAACUUCAUCAAGGAUUUGAGAGAGAACAAUAUCAGUCUCAGCAAGGUGCACAACAUACUAAAUGCAACACAUGGUGAUCAGGCUGGUGCACCGUUCCGUAAGCAAUCUUUAAGGUAUCUAUGCUCUCGGAUUGCUCAGGAUGCGAUAUCUGACGACAUGGAAAAAACUGUAAAAUUGCUAGAUGAAAUGAAGCGUGUGGAUCCAAGCCUGUCAGUUUUUUUAGAAAUCGAUCAUGAGGGUUCCCCUAAGUUCACCUUAUGGUGUACUGGGAAGAAUAAACAGGAUUAUAUGUACUUUGGUGACGUGGUCACUUUCGACACAACAUACAAAACCAAUCUUUAUAAUAUGCCGUCUGGUAUUUUUGUUGGCGUGAACAAUCACUACCAGUCAACCAUUUUUGGAGGUGUGCUCAUGCGCGAGGAAACAGUAGCUGGAUUCGAGUGGGCUUUCGGAAAUUUUGUUGAAGUUAUGAAUCGGAAACAUCCGGUCACCAUCCUAACAGGUUGAUGCCGCAUGGAUAUUACCAUAAUGUUGUAUUUCA